This 3099-nucleotide long non-coding RNA is filed under the name Homo sapiens (human). RNAcentral's name for it is "non-protein coding lnc-CLDN9-1:1". The record is from RNAcentral. Lineage: Eukaryota; Metazoa; Chordata; Mammalia; Primates; Hominidae.
CGCCCGCCCCUGGUCUCCGAGCCGCCGCCGCAUCCGCUUCCGCCGCUGCCCGCGCGACCCUCUCCCUUCAGCCUGCUGACGGCCCCCGAGACCCGCGACCCAUGGCUGCUGUCCGCCUUUCCCCUGCCACCGCCCGUGCCCCUGUCCCCGCAUUUCUUCCUGUCGCCGCCCUGCUGACCUGGCCCCUCCCGCGGCGGGUGGCCUGAGCUCAGGUAAUCAGGCGAAAAUUCUUUCUCAGUGGGCUCUUCUCCAGCAGCCUAGGACUGGUAUCAGAAAGCCAACCUUGACCCUGGGGGACCUCGGAGAGCCCGGGACCCACCACCAAGAAGGGCAGUGUACUAGUUCUUUGUGACUGCAGUAAAAAUUUUAUUUUUUAAUUUUUUUUAUUUUUGGUAGAGAUGCGGUUUCACCAUGUUAGCCAGGAUGGUCUCGAUCUCCUGACCUCGUGAUCUUCCCGCCUCGGCCUCCCAAAGUGCUGGGAUUACAGGCGUGAGCCACCGCGCCCGGCCUGACCGCAGUAGCAAAUUUAUACACACUGCAUGGCUUCAAACAACAGAAAUGUAUUCGUUACAAUUCUGGAGGCCAAAAGUCAAAAAUAAAGGUGUGGGCAGGACCCUGUUCCCUUCACAGGUGCUAGGGGAGGAUCCCUCCUGCCUCUUCCAGCUCCUGGUGGCUCCAGGCCCUCUGUGGCUUGUGGCCGCAUCACAGGAGUUCCUGCCUCCGUCUUCACAUGGCCUUCUCCCCAUGUCUGUCUCCAAUCUCCCUGUUUUUAUGUUGUAAGAGGUUGGAUUGUCGUUGAAGGUAGGACCCGCCUGAAACCUAGGAUAAUCUCAUUUUGAUAUCCUUAGUUUAAUUACAUGUGCAAAGGCCCUUUUAUCAAGUGAGGUCACAUUCACAGAUUCCAGGGCUUAGAGGGUGGAGGUAUCAUUUUGCGUGCCCCCAUCUGGACAUGCAGUGUCCUCUCCCCUGUGGGGCUGACCUACCUUCCUAGCCGUCUUCCCAGAACGUAAUGUGUCUUAAAUCCGUCAUGCUGACCUGGGGCCCUGGGUGCCCUUGGGCAGGAGCUGAUGGCACUAGUACCUUGAUAAAGUUCUUACUGGCACCAGAAGAGAAUAAAGUAACUCUCCUUCCCCUUCUCUGACUUAUGGCCAGGUGCCCAUUCCCACUGGCUUGCCGCUCCCCAGCUCCCUGCGCUUUAUAUUGUUGAGGCCUCCUCUCUCAGCUAAGAAACAGGAAGUACACAGAUGUGUAUUCUUAAAGACAGCAUUAGCCACGGGGCCCCCACCCUCAAAGGGUGGGAGCGAUAACUGCUGCUGGUUGAAACUGACAGUUACUACUGAUAAUAAAGUUAAUUGUUACCCAGUCAGUGGAGUCUGCCCAGGUGUACAAGUGAAACCUCCAUUAUGCUUUUGACAAAAUAUGCUUGUCUUGAGUCAAUACCCACCUCGAUCCCCAAGGUGCCAGUCCAGGGAUGUGCCAGGGUUGAAGCAGAGCUGUCUCCUCUCUGCUUUACAGCCAGGAGCACCUGAGGUUUGGGCAGCUGUGACUUGCCCAGGGAGCCCUGGGGUGGGGCUCGCAUGAGGUUCUGGGAGUCCAGCCCGCUGCCCCCUGCAAGUGGGGAGCAAAGGGCACUUCCCUUGCCAGGGACAUGGCAAUGAGAGUGAGCCAGCUGGUGGAGGGGGCCUCUUCCGUAAUCAGAUCCAAAUGCAGUUUUCUGCAGAGGUUUCCCUGUACUGGGAGCCUCGAAGAAUUUGGGACAAGGAGGAACGGGAUGGUGCUUGGGAGGCCCAGAAGAAGGAGAGGCCCUGCCCCGCUGCCCUGUCGGGAAAGAGGUUCAGGAGGCUCUCUUAGCCCACCUAGGGGGGCUAGCUCCAAAGUCAGGGUCUGGGUUGGUGUCAGGUGUGUCCUGCUUCCCGCUGUGCACUUGGUCAGGUUCGCUCAGCUCCCUGAGCUUGUUCCUGUCUGUGAAGGUGGGCAGUGAGCCCGUGAGGGUGACAGCUGCAACACCGAGAUUUAGCUGCACCUUUUGGUUUGGGAGCUAGGGGACCAGCUUCUCUACCUGUAAGAUCUGGGUCUUGGCUCCUCCGGGCGCAGUGGGUGACUCUGCCCUUGGGGUUCUUAGUGUGCUGCCCCCACACCCACCCCCGCACUGUUCCUGGCGCAUGGUAGCUCCUGGUAACUUCCUUCCUUUCCUUUGUGGUCAGGCCACACUUCCCCCUCUAAGAGGCGCGGGUUAACCCACUUCGACCCUAUCUAAGCUGAUCUCUGGUUUCUUCUGCCCACCUGAGCCUCCCUGCCCCUCUUUCCUCCUAGACGGAACAAAAACGAGGUCCAUUUUGUCGCUCCAGGAAGGGACUGGUGGAGAGCCGGCUUCCUUUCCUCCCAGGGUAGUACAGUGGGGAAGGUUCCCCUCCCCCACCUCUUUUCCCAGACGUGGUGGAUGGGGGAGGGGACUUCGCUGGAGGUGUUAAAGUGCCAUUGAGAUGGUAACCACACCAAGGGGCCCCCACUUUUCCAUAUCAAUGGCAUUCCAGUCCCUGAUUAGGCCCCAACCUUAACCCUUCCUUUCCCAAGAUCCAACUGAAUCCAGGUGCACGGGGGCCUAGGAGAGGGUCUAGGACCUCCCAACCUAGGUCUAGUGAGGGCUGAGGACAACAGGCUAAUUGCUACCCAUGUGUCCUGGGAAUCCUCCCACCAUGGGCAGCUCCCCAACCACCCUCUUCCAGCCUCUCCUAGGCUCCAAGAUGUUUCUCCACUUUUACUCUCCCCAAGGGGCUUGGGGAGAUACUGUGUUUUAUCUUAGAGACUUGGGGUGGGAGGAGCCUGAAGCCGCACAGGGCCACUGUGAAGGCAAGUCCAGUGGGUUGGUCACUGAGGUGGGGGUGUGCGCAUUUGCUGAGCAGCCUCCACCCACUCUGCUGGCUAGUCCCUGGAGUGUGGGCUUGCUUUCCUUCUUGCUCCGGUGUGGAGAUGUUGGGCCAAAGAGGAAUUGGGGUCUUAAAAACCUGGGGUCGGCUGGAUGCGGUGGCUCACACCUCUAAUCCUAGCAGUUUGGGAGGCCGAGGCAGGCAGAUCACGAGAUCAGGAGUUCGAGACCAG